AUCGCUUCUCAGCCUUUUGGCUAAGAUCAAGUGUAAAAUUUUACUUCGAGACAGGAUUUUGUGGUGUUGGCCAGGCUGGCCUUGAACUGGUAAUUGUCCUGCCUCAGUCUCUUGAGUAGCUGAGAUUACAGGUGCACCUGUCUCAUUUAAACUUUUUUAAAGUAAUUUUUGACAUAAUUUCAAGAAUUAGAAGCUGUAAGAAUAAUACAAAGAAUUCUGGUAUGUCUUUCACACU
The sequence is a small nuclear RNA, 235 nucleotides long. Its record names the gene U2. It matches the Rfam family "U2 spliceosomal RNA". From Rfam's summary of the family: U2 is a small nuclear RNA (snRNA) component of the spliceosome (involved in pre-mRNA splicing). Complementary binding between U2 snRNA (in an area lying towards the 5' end but 3' to hairpin I) and the branchpoint sequence (BPS) of the intron results the bulging out of an unpaired adenosine, on the BPS, which initiates a nucleophilic attack at the intronic 5' splice site, thus starting the first of two transesterification reactions that mediate splicing. The record is from Ensembl.